This is a non-coding RNA of Myotis davidii, 57 nucleotides long. The record is from Rfam. Lineage: Eukaryota; Metazoa; Chordata; Mammalia; Chiroptera; Vespertilionidae.
UGAUGGCCUCACCUACCCCUGAAGAUCCAGGUGGGCGAGGGAAUAGUCAAAGGGAUC